RNAcentral lists this ribosomal RNA (632 nucleotides) under uncultured bacterium. RNAcentral describes it as "bacterial SSU rRNA". It matches the Rfam family "Bacterial small subunit ribosomal RNA", at positions 1 to 634 of the family's 1533-position model. The record is from RNAcentral.
GCACUAGUGAUUUCUGGUUGAUCCUGGUAAAAGACGAACGCUGGCGGCGUGCUUAACACAUGCAAGUCGAACGAGGUUUAUUGGAGAGCUUGCUCGAAGGUAGACCGAGUGGCGGACGGGUGAGUAACGCGUGAACAAUCUGUCUCAUACAGGGGGAUAACGCAUCGAAAGAUGUGCUAAUACCGCGUAGGACCACGGCAUCGCAUGGUGCUGAGGUGAAAGGAGCAAUCCGGUAUGAGGUGAGUUCGCGUCUGAUUAGAUAGUUGGUGAGGUAACGGCUCACCAAGUCAACGAUCAGUAGCCGACCUGAGAGGGUGAUCGGCCACAUUGGGACUGAGACACGGCCCAGACUCCUACGGGAGGCAGCAGUGGGGAAUAUUGGGCAAUGGGCGAAAGCCUGACCCAGCAACGCCGCGUGAAGGAAGAAGGUUUUCGGAUCGUAAACUUCUGUCCUUGGUGAAGAUAAUGACGGUAGCCAAGGAGGAAGCCCCGGCUAACUACGUGCCAGCAGCCGCGGUAAUACGUAGGGGGCGAGCGUUGUCCGGAAUGAUUGGGCGUAAAGGGCGCGUAGGCGGCCCGUUAAGUCUGGAGUGAAAGUCCUGUUUUCAAGAUGGGAAUUGCUUUGGGAUACU